UUGGGUUUCAAUAUAUGCAUGCCUUUUAUUAACUUCAUUGGCUAUCUUAAAUAGCCUUGCAACUGGAAUGGGAAAAGGAAAUUAACAACUACUAAAAAGUAGGGAACACAUGCCCACUAACCCACUAACUACAUGCCAGUAAAAUUGGUCCUAACAACAAGGAAAUAACAACCCAAAUAAACAACUCAAGACUAACUAAAUUGAACCCAUGUAUGCACCAUGUAGGUAGAAACAUGCAUGGGCUUUGCAUCAUGGCAGCAACAUGCACACAUCAAAAGGAAAACUUCAAGUUUUCUAUUCUUUUCUUUUCUGUUCUAAUUUAAGUUUUUUAUUCUUUUCUUUUCUGUUCAAAACUCAGAAACAGAAUGUUACGAUAAUUACUCUUGAUUGAUUUGUUUUAGUGCUAUGCACAGCUGGGUUCAAGGAAAUAAGAACCAGAAGAGGAGAGGCGGAGACCCUCCAUGACUCCCUAGGUUUUUCACUCUCCCUUCUCUCUACCUUUUUCCAUAGCUGAUUUCACCCUCCUUUUCACCUUUCUUCCUUUCCCUUCUCCGAAUCUGCAAGCGAAUGUAGCCGAAUGAAGUUUUGCCUGCAGAUUCCAUUCCAGUUUCCUCAGACCUAACCGAAAUAUUACCAGCCAAAUCAACGUCAACCACUAUAUCAGAUUCAACCAUGUCAACCACUAUAUUAGCAGCCAAAUGUAGGUUCCGCUCCCAUGGGAACAAUUGAUAAUGAUUUGAUGACUAUGAUUGCCAAAAUGAGGUGAGGGCAACUGGGGAUUUUUUUUGAACAACCGAAUUUGGAUUUAGAUAUGGUUUUGGUUUGUUUGUUUUGGAUUUUGAUUGAUUUGUUUGAUGGAAGGAAUUUAGAUUGAGUGAACAACUGAAUUUGAAUUUAGAUAUGGUUUUGAUUUGUUUGUUUUGGAUUUGGAUUUGAUUGAACAGAAUUUAGAAACUCGAUUGUGGAGGGGAAGAGAGAAAGAGAGAACGAGAGAGGGUAACUGGGUUCAAGCAAAGGUAAAUUGAACAUAAAAUAAACUUAACAAAUAUGUGGAGAUCACAGUGUGAAAAUAU
RNAcentral lists this long non-coding RNA (1073 nucleotides) under Panax ginseng (ginseng). RNAcentral describes it as "long non-coding RNA (PGIN_LNC004973)". Lineage: Eukaryota; Viridiplantae; Streptophyta; Magnoliopsida; Apiales; Araliaceae. The record is from RNAcentral.